Molecule: ribosomal RNA, 420 nt
Filed under: Triticum aestivum (bread wheat)
Lineage: Eukaryota; Viridiplantae; Streptophyta; Magnoliopsida; Poales; Poaceae
Description: partial small subunit ribosomal RNA
Source: RNAcentral
AUGAUCAUAAGGGGUUGGGCGCCACAAGUGAUGAUCCUGUGGCACCAAGCCAUUGGAGGAUUUGUGAUGCACUGUGGGUGGAACUCAACAAUAGAGGGUAUUUGUGCAUGUGUGCCCAUGAUCACAUGGCCGCACUUUGUGAAGGUGUUUGUGAAUGAGAAGUUGGUGGUAGAUGUGCUGAAAAUCGGGGUGGAUGUUGGAGUGCAAGGAGUUAUACAGUGGGGAAGUGAAAACAAAGAAGUUAUGGUUAUAAGAGAUGCCAUGGAGACUGCAGUGAACACCCUAAUGGAUGAGGGGGAGGUUGCAAAGGAGUUAAGGGUGAGAGCAAAACACUACGCCAUUAUGGCAAGGAGGGCUUUCAAUGAGGAAGGUUCUUCGUAUAACAACACAAGGCUAUUGAUUCAAGAAAUGGGAAACAAG